This 472-nucleotide ribosomal RNA is filed under the name uncultured bacterium. RNAcentral's name for it is "partial 16S ribosomal RNA". It matches the Rfam family "Bacterial small subunit ribosomal RNA", at positions 28 to 507 of the family's 1533-position model. The record is from RNAcentral.
GACGAACGCUGGCGGCGUGCUUAACACAUGCAAGUCGAACGCUGAAGCUUGGUGCUUGCACUGGGUGGAUGAGUGGCGAACGGGUGAGUAAUACGUGAGUAACCUGCCCUUGACUCUGGGAUAAUCCUGGGAAACUGGGUCUAAUACUGGAUACGACAUGUCACCGCAUGGUGGUGUGUGGAAAGGGUUUUACUGGUUUUGGAUGGGCUCACGGCCUAUCAGCUUGUUGGUGGGGUAAUGGCUCACCAAGGCGACGACGGGUAGCCGGCCUGAGAGGGUGACCGGCCACACUGGGACUGAGACACGGCCCAGACUCCUACGGGAGGCAGCAGUGGGGAAUAUUGCACAAUGGGCGGAAGCCUGAUGCAGCGACGCCGCGUGAGGGAUGACGGCCUUCGGGUUGUAAACCUCUUUCAGCACGGAAGAAGCGAAAGUGACGGUACGUGCAGAAGAAGCGCCGGCUAACUACGUG